GCAACAUGGCUCAUACCUUUCAACCACGCAAAAGCAAAUGGCUCCUACCUUUCCAUCUUCCAACCAGGCAAGCAAGAGGUCAUGUGGCAGCUCAAGGGGAGGAAAUGGCAGAGGCUGCCCUCUGGGGUUUCCUGGGCUCUGCACUCACCCAGCAUGAUUCAGAGUAAGCCCCUUUCCACCACUGUGUGAUGACCUCUGAUUCCCACUUCAACUGUCAGGGUCUCCUCCAUCCCCGGCACUCGGGAAGCCGUGAUCCAGGACUCUGAGAUUAACAGACAACCAAGGAGAAACAGGGCAACCGAGGCCCUACCUGCCUGGCACGCUCGGAUGAGCCUGCGUGCCCGUCCGAAACAGCUGCCAAACCCUGGUGCGGGGGGAAGCAUUUGUCUCCCCAGCCCAGACUGGUGACCCUUCUGCUGUGGCAACGAGCAGAGAAAUGCCACCACCUUUGCGGGAAGCUCCCUCCUCCCUCUUUGUGUUGGGAGCCAUUUCCUAGGCAAAUCAGGCCGGAUGGAUCCUUUCCAGAAAGAACCUGAUGUAUCAGGUGAGUGGCCCAUCUCAUCCAGCAUCCUGUUCUUGCCCUGGCCAGCCAAAUGCCUCUGAUAAGCCUGUAUGCAGGACCCGAGCACCACAGCAACUCUCUUCUCUGGCAAAUGGUAUUCAGAAGCACACUACCUUCCCUUUAGAAGACAGCCAUCAGGGUUAGUAGCCACUGAUCGCUUGCUCUGUGCAUUUGUCUCCCAGCCAACCUAGCAGGCCAAAGUUCCUCAAAAGCCCAAGGAAGUAAGCAACAGAACUUCCCAAUGGGCUCCCAGCCAGCUCAAACAUUCAACCAUCUUGCCUUUUCUUUCAAGCCUGCCAGCCGCAGCAGCUGUUGGUCCCUUUGCUCCUGAUGUCUUCCGUUUGCAGAGAGAAAGCAAGUGCAGCAAGUACAACCAAGAAGGAGAGAGAGGGGGAGAAAGUUGGGGGGCAAGUCCAGGAAAUCAGGGUCAGUUAGAGGGGCCAUGUGUCCUGCUUAAAAGAGGACAGACCUCGGUUUGAAGGCAUUCCGAAUUUGAAGGCCUGUCUAGUCCAUGUUUGGCUUAAAGACAAAGGAAGUCUAAAGAGGGGUGCAAUACUAUACUAUUUCUAAACAUGGAGGGGGGGCAAUUACUUGGCCACCCUUUGCAGAAGUAGCUGAAAGACUCUGCUGCGGCUGGCAUUCAAUGAGGUAUGCAGUCAACUGUAAUUUACUUGAGUGUUCUGGUUUGUUGAGCGCAAUAAAAUGCUGGGAGUGUGGGGUGCUCUUCUUCAGGGUUCCAACUCCCCUUUUAAAACCACCUAAGCAAGCAACGAUAUUGUGGCAGGAAGUUCCACAAACUAAUUCUGCAUCCUGUGAAGAACUACCCACCUGUGUGUAUGAGCUCCACAGUGCUUAGUUCAUUUUUUGGUUGCUAUUUUGUUAAUGUUGUUUUAUAGAUUAUGAAUGCUGCAGUACUUUGUGGAUCCUAUAAUAUGGCUUUUAUUAUAUUUGUGCUGUUUAGCUUUUUAAAAAAGUUGUUUUGUUAAUAGUGCUUUAUAGAUCGUAAUCGUUUCACCAAUGAUUUGUUAAUUCUUCUGUAUGAUAUAUGCUGUGUUUUUGGUGUUCUAUUAUGUGAUUGUUAUUUAUUGUUUGUAAGCCACUUGGCAAUUCAUUCGAAUGAAAAGCGGCAGAGAAAUAUAAUAAAUCAAAUCACAUGCAUUUCUGCAUGAGGCUUUCCGACAGCUGAGGCUAUUUGAACCAGCUGAUCACACAGAGAAGCAGCGGGCACCCUCUUCUGAGCCGACCAAAGCCUCCUGACAUACAAUUUGAGAAUUCCUGUUACGGGACUCAGAAUCAUUAUUUCCUUUGACCAGGUUUCACAGACGAAACAUCCUUGUUUCAGGUCAGACUAUUAUCCAUCUAGCCCAAUAGAGCCUGCUCUGACUGGCAACAGCUCCCCAUGUUUCCAUCAGAAAAGGGACUUCCUCGCAGUCUGAAACUACCCGGAGGUGUCAGGGAGUGAACCUGGGACGUUCUGCAUGCAGUGCAGGAGCUGCUCCCGCGUUCCACCUGACUGCCUGCACUUCUCACUGCCUGCGUCACUUGGCAAGUCCUCGGGCAGAUGUGGAACCAGGCAGAUGUGGGGCCUGCCAAACGCCCCCAUUCCCAGCACUUUGAAGAACCGUGUGUUUUGAAUUUCAUCUCAGGAGUUUUUUUCUCUCUCCGAGACUUCAGCAGAUUAAAGUUGAA
This is a long non-coding RNA of Podarcis muralis (Common wall lizard), 2251 nucleotides long. RefSeq lists it as uncharacterized. NCBI's taxonomy places the organism in Eukaryota, Metazoa, Chordata, Lepidosauria, Squamata, Lacertidae. The record is from RefSeq and is a predicted model, not a curated record.